RNAcentral lists this unclassified non-coding RNA (387 nucleotides) under soil metagenome. Its description in RNAcentral is "partial contains 5.8S ribosomal RNA, internal transcribed spacer 2, and large subunit ribosomal RNA". The stretch from base 1 to 120 matches the Rfam family "5.8S ribosomal RNA", at positions 35 to 154 of the family's 154-position model. The record is from RNAcentral.
GAUGAAGAACGUAGCGAAAUGCGAUAAGUAAUGUGAAUUGCAGAAUUCAGUGAAUCAUCGAAUCUUUGAACGCACCUUGCACCCUUUGGCAUUCCGAAGGGUAUGCUCGUUUGAGUGUCAUUGUACUCUCACACUCUCCGAUCCUAUGGAUUCGGGGAGCGGUGGACUUGGGUGUUGCUGCCUUUCCCUGUGGCUCACCUCAAAUGCGUCAGUGCACCUCUUGGUUGGACAUAGUACGGCGUGAUAAGUGUCUUCGCCGGCACCUCGCAAGAGGGUGGCCGAUCGGGAGCUCUGCGCUUUCAAACCGUCUUAGGACAAUUUCUGACAUCUUGACCUCAAAUCGAGUAGGACUACCCGCUGAACUUAAGCAUAUCAAUAAGCGGAGGA